GAUGAACGCUGGCGGCGUGCCUAAUACAUGCAAGUCGAGCGAACAGACGAGGAGCUUGCUCCUCUGACGUUAGCGGCGGACGGGUGAGUAACACGUGGAUAACCUACCUAUAAGACUUGGAUAACUUCGGGAAACCGGAGCUAAUACCGGAUAAUAUAUUGAACCGCAUGGUUCAAUAGUGAAAGACGGUUUUGCUGUCACUUAUAGAUGGAUCCGCGCCGCAUUAGCUAGUUGGUAAGGUAACGGCUUACCAAGGCAACGAUGCGUAGCCGACCUGAGAGGGUGAUCGGCCACACUGGAACUGAGACACGGUCCAGACUCCUACGGGAGGCAGCAGUAGGGAAUCUUCCGCAAUGGGCGAAAGCCUGACGGAGCAACGCCGCGUGAGUGAUGAAGGUCUUCGGAUCGUAAAACUCUGUUAUUAGGGAAGAACAAAUGUAUAAGUAAAUAUGCACGUAUUGACGGUACCUAAUCAGAAAGCCACGGCUAACUACGUG
RNAcentral lists this ribosomal RNA (497 nucleotides) under uncultured bacterium. RNAcentral's name for it is "partial 16S ribosomal RNA". It matches the Rfam family "Bacterial small subunit ribosomal RNA", at positions 28 to 507 of the family's 1533-position model. The record is from RNAcentral.